UACGGGGGGGGCAAGCGUUGUUCGGAAUUACUGGGCGUAAAGGGCUCGUAGGUGGCCAACUAAGUCAGACGUGAAAUCCCUCGGCUUAACCGGGGAACUGCGUCUGAUACUGGAUGGCUUGAGUUUGGGAGAGGGACGCGGAAUUCCAGGUGUAGCGGUGAAAUGCGUAGAUAUCAAGAGGAACACCUGCGGCGAAGGCGGGUUGCUGGGCCGACACUGACGCUGAGGCGCGAAAGCCAGGGGAGCGAACGGG
Molecule: ribosomal RNA, 253 nt
Filed under: uncultured bacterium
Lineage: Bacteria
Description: partial 16S ribosomal RNA
Rfam family: Bacterial small subunit ribosomal RNA
Source: RNAcentral